This is a transfer RNA of 72 nucleotides. It matches the Rfam family "tRNA". Rfam says of the family: Transfer RNA (tRNA) molecules are approximately 80 nucleotides in length. The record is from Rfam.
GGUCCCGUGGUGUAAUUGGCAGCACUCUCGACUCCUAAUCGAGCAAUCCGAGUUCGAAUCUCGGUGGGACCU